Molecule: ribosomal RNA, 254 nt
Filed under: uncultured bacterium
Lineage: Bacteria
Description: partial 16S ribosomal RNA
Rfam family: Bacterial small subunit ribosomal RNA
Source: RNAcentral
UACGUAGGGGCCUAGCGUUGUCCGGAAUUAUUGGGCGUAAAGAGCUCGUAGGUGGUUCGGCAAGUCGGAUGUGAAAUCUCCACGCUUAACGUGGAGGGGCCAUUCGAAACUGCUGUGACUUGAGUCCUGGAGAGGGUCGUGGAAUUCCCGGUGUAGCGGUGAAAUGCGUAGAGAUCGGGAGGAACACCAGAGGCGAAGGCGGCGACCUGGACAGGUACUGACACUCAACUACGAAAGCGUGGGGAGCAAACAGG